Molecule: ribosomal RNA, 434 nt
Filed under: uncultured bacterium
Lineage: Bacteria
Description: bacterial SSU rRNA
Rfam family: Bacterial small subunit ribosomal RNA
Source: RNAcentral
GCAAAACGCGAAGAACCUUACCCACCUUUGACAUGUACGGAAUCCUCUAGAGAUAGAGGAGUGCUCGAAAGAGAGCCGUAACACAGGUGCUGCAUGGCUGUCGUCAGCUCGUGUCGUGAGAUGUUGGGUUAAGUCCCGCAACGAGCGCAACCCUUGCCAUUAGUUGCUACGAAAGGGCACUCUAAUGGGACUGCCGGUGACAAACCGGAGGAAGGUGGGGAUGACGUCAAGUCCUCAUGGCCCUUAUAGGUGGGGCUACACACGUCAUACAAUGGCUGGUACAAAGGGUUGCCAACCCGCGAGGGGGAGCUAAUCCCAUAAAGCCAGUCGUAGUCCGGAUCGCAGUCUGCAACUCGACUGCGUGAAGUCGGAAUCGCUAGUAAUCGUGGAUCAGAAUGUCACGGUGAAUACGUUCCCGGGUCUUGUACACACCG